ACAGUGUCUGGUGGGUAGUUUGACUGGGGCGGUCUCCUCCUAAAGAGUAACGGAGGAGCACGAAGGUUGGCUAAUCCUGGUCGGACAUCAGGAGGUUAGUGCAAUGGCAUAAGCCAGCUUGACUGCGAGCGUGACGGCGCGAGCAGGUGCGAAAGCAGGUCAUAGUGAUCCGGUGGUUCUGAAUGGAAGGGCCAUCGCUCAACGGAUAAAAGGUACUCCGGGGAUAACAGGCUGAUACCGCCCAAGAGUUCAUAUCGACGGCGGUGUUUGGCACCUCGAUGUCGGCUCAUCACAUCCUGGGGCUGAAGUAGGUCCCAAGGGUAUGGCUGUUCGCCAUUUAAAGUGGUACGCGAGCUGGGUUUAGAACGUCGUGAGACAGUUCGGUCCCUAUCUGCCGUGGGCGCUGGAGAACUGAGGGGGGCUGCUCCUAGUACGAGAGGACCGGAGUGGACGCAUCACUGGUGUUCGGGUUGUCAUGCCAAUGGCACUGCCCGGUAGCUAAAUGCGGAAGAGAUAAGUGCUGAAAGCAUCUAAGCACGAAACUUGCCCCGAGAUGAGUUCUCCCUGACUCCUUGAGAGUCCUGAAGGAACGUUGAAGACGACGACGUUGAUAGGCCGGGUGUGUAAGCGCAGCGAU
This 637-nucleotide ribosomal RNA is filed under the name Escherichia coli. Its description in RNAcentral is "partial 23S ribosomal RNA". It matches the Rfam family "Bacterial large subunit ribosomal RNA", at positions 2251 to 2882 of the family's 2925-position model. The record is from RNAcentral. Lineage: Bacteria; Pseudomonadati; Pseudomonadota; Gammaproteobacteria; Enterobacterales; Enterobacteriaceae.